GGAUAUGUACAUAAGGUUUUGGUUACCUGGUGGAGAUAUGAAGCACAGCCUCAGAAGUUCAUCAGCAAUGCAUGAUAUUUGAGCGAGAUGCCAUACAGGACAGAUUCAGAAUCUCAGGCAAGUCUGAAACUACAGAAACGGAACAGAGAACAAGCUGAAAGAAACAAAAACUCCACACAAGGGAAAAACAAAGCAAGGAAAUCUGAAGUUCCAUCUUUGCUACAGGUUGUUAUGACACACUGUGGCCAUCAAGCAUACCAGUCAUCACACAGACCUCCUCAAAAAACAGUUAUGGAAGGAAAUGUGGAUCUGUCACCAAAUCUAGAAACAAACAUGGCCUUAAGUUUCCUGUUAUAGACAACCUAUCAGUCAAGCAGAAGUUGAAACACAACAUGACCCAUAUAAAAAAAAAAAAAGAGAGAAAGGGGUGCAUGACCCAAAUAAAGCCACCUCAGGUAAGUACUGGCUACAUGGAAUCGAGCCAUUUGUCCUGAUGCUAGACAUUGCAAACUGGAUGGAUGUUAAUCUAAGUUAAUCACGCUUGUAUUACUGCCGUGAAUAGACAUUUGCUUUAUUUUUUUCAUACAAACACAUUAGUUUAAUAAGA
RNAcentral lists this long non-coding RNA (607 nucleotides) under Cairina moschata (Muscovy duck). RNAcentral describes it as "domestica (muscovy Duck (domestic type)) lncRNA (ENSCMMG00000011878.1)". The record is from RNAcentral. Lineage: Eukaryota; Metazoa; Chordata; Aves; Anseriformes; Anatidae.